AUUGAACGCUGGCGGCAGGCUAAACACAUGCAAGUCGAGCGGGGGAAGGUAGCUUGCUACCGGACCUAGCGGCGGACGGGUGAGUAAUGCUUAGGAAUCUGCCUAUUAGUGGGGGACAACAUCUCGAAAGGGAUGCUAAUACCGCAUACGUCCUACGGGAGAAAGCAGGGGAUCUUCGGACCUUGCGCUAAUAGAUGAGCCUAAGUCGGAUUAGCUAGUUGGUGGGGUAAAGGCCUACCAAGGCGACGAUCUGUAGCGGGUCUGAGAGGAUGAUCCGCCACACUGGGACUGAGACACGGCCCAGACUCCUACGGGAGGCAGCAGUGGGGAAUAUUGGACAAUGGGGGGAACCCUGAUCCAGCCACGCCGCGUGUGUGAAGAAGGCCUUAUGGUUGUAAAGCACUUUAAGCGAGGAGGAGGCUACUUUAGUUAAUACCUAGAGAUAGUGGACGUUACUCGCAGAAUAGGCACCGGCUAACUCUGUGCCAGCAGCCGCAGUAA
RNAcentral lists this ribosomal RNA (501 nucleotides) under uncultured bacterium. Its description in RNAcentral is "partial 16S ribosomal RNA". It matches the Rfam family "Bacterial small subunit ribosomal RNA", at positions 30 to 523 of the family's 1533-position model. The record is from RNAcentral.